RNAcentral lists this ribosomal RNA (429 nucleotides) under Bacillota bacterium. RNAcentral's name for it is "Firmicutes bacterium partial 16S ribosomal RNA". It matches the Rfam family "Bacterial small subunit ribosomal RNA", at positions 355 to 776 of the family's 1533-position model. Lineage: Bacteria; Bacillati; Bacillota. The record is from RNAcentral.
UAGGGAAUAUUGGACAAUGGGCGCAAGCCUGAUCCAGCCAUGCCGCGUGAGUGAAGAAGGCCCUCGGGUUGUAAAGCUCUUUUGUCCGGAAAGAAAAGCAUCGGGUUAAUACCCCGGUGUUCUGACGGUACCGGAAGAAUAAGCACCGGCUAACUUCGUGCCAGCAGCCGCGGUAAUACGAAGGGUGCAAGCGUUACUCGGAAUUACUGGGCGUAAAGCGUGCGUAGGUGGUUCGUUAAGUCUGAUGUGAAAGCCCUGGGCUCAACCUGGGAAUGGCAUUGGAAACUGGCGGACUAGAGUGCGGUAGAGGGUAGCGGAAUUCCCGGUGUAGCAGUGAAAUGCGUAGAGAUCGGGAGGAACAUCCGUGGCGAAGGCGGCUACCUGGACCAGCACUGACACUGAGGCACGAAAGCGUGGGGAGCAAACAGG